AGGACGUUACAUGUUUCCAUACAUUUAAUAAUACACACAGAACACAUUAGGGCCAAAUGACAAAGUUCCCAUUGUCAAUCAAACCGGCUCUUGAAACAGCCUUGAAAAACCCUUCUAGACACAUUACCAUAUCCCCUUUGUGGUUUCAUUUUGUUACAGGUCUUUGUUGCCUGGAUAUCAGGUGAUCAUUCAAUUUGUGUGUUCUCUGCAUUAAACAUCUCCAUUAAUUUAGAUUUCCACCGUAGCCUAUUGAAACCGACGUGUGGAAUCCUGUCCAAGGAUAAAUUAGGACUGUGUGUAUAGUUGGACCACACUGUAGACAAUUAAAAAGUAUAACUCCGUUUCCGUUAAACCUUUUAUAGUCCUUUUAAUUUCGCGCUGAAAGCGUAAGUCUCGCGCAGCCACAGCAGGCGGUGCUCCAGGCGGGGGGUAUUCAUCCACACACUCACUGACCAUCACACUCAAACCGGUAAAAACAAACAUGGCAAAUAUACAUUAACUUAAAAUAUACAUAUGCACAGCGUUUAUACGUGUUUAUUCCUGUAAUUUGGCUUAGCGGUGUUAAUCAGCAAUCGUCAUGUAUUUACACAAAUAAACAACAGUUGUUAGUACAGCUUAUAAAUGUAGCUAAUAAAAAGCCAGUUCAACUAAGCUAGCUUCUUCAUAGUGCUAUCAAAAAAUAAGGAAGUGUCCUCAGGUGUUCGCUUGUGGAAAGAGAAAGUAAUCACUAAUCGCAUUGUCAGCAGCACUGCGCUGACAAAGAUGUAAACGUCCCGUGUUUUUUUAGAUGUGAUUACGCCUGCGUAGUCCAUUAAAAUGUUGGACUCCAAUGACACCUUCUUUUCCUUGGACAAUCUCUUCUUUGAAGGGCCUGUCGUCCACAAAGUGUGAGUAGAGGGAAUACGGCCCAGCCCCCACUGCCAGAAAGAUACACUCUCCCCUCUCUUAAUUUGAUUGGUUUGUUCUUUCUGACAGGAAGCCAAUGUGCCAAGGGGCCAGUUCAUGGAGGUUGGAUGCUCCUCCAUCCACCUCUCAGAUCCCAUGCACCCAGGACAUCCAGAAAGAGGCAGAGACUCUCUCGUCCUUAUGCAAUGUCUUGGGGCCCUUCCCAUCCAAAUUCAUCAGUUCUCACGGCCUACAAAACCAUCAGGGAGAUACAGGGAAUAAUCAGGGGAACAAGGGCGGGGCUGACUGUUUUUGGGGAGGCCAGGGUUACUUCAGCCACUCUGAGGGACGUGGAGAUGAAACACCUCUGGACAAUGGCCAUGCAGCCGCUAACCGAAGGGCUUUGUAUGAAGAAUUUGGAGAAAGCACACCUCAACGAAGAAGGCAAGAUUUAGUAAUGUCUCUGUAACAAAAAUAGUAUUAUUAUAACA
RNAcentral lists this long non-coding RNA (1376 nucleotides) under Gadus morhua (Atlantic cod). Its description in RNAcentral is "lncRNA (ENSGMOG00000036112.1)". Lineage: Eukaryota; Metazoa; Chordata; Actinopteri; Gadiformes; Gadidae. The record is from RNAcentral.